AUGUGACAACCCAAAUUGGAAGCAACACAUCUCAUGAUGAAUUAUUCAAGACAGGAAAUGGGAUAAGUGGAUACAUCAAUACAAACAGAUCAAACAUCGAGAACGAUACGAACUUUUAGCUCUGCUGGAUCCCGCUCGGCCAUGUCAGGUUCUUCACCGGCUUGAGAAUGGCUUCAACCUCGGAGAGCGUUUCUUGAUCCAUUCCUGCAGACGCCAGCUCCACUGCAGCGGCGACAUUCUCCUCGACCUGACAUUGGCACGCAAGAGUGUAUCAGGGAAGCUCAUUCCGACACUGCUAGAUGCUGCGCCUUCCUAUUUAAACUAGCGGCGAUAUCACCCAUGUUCUUCUCAUCGCAGUAGAAGGUGCAUGAUGAGUUAGCUCAGAAUCUUUUUGACCACAAAUGCACACUUGAUAGUUAUCUAAAUGGCAUCAGGCGUACCAGAUUCCUUGACUUUACCUUUUUUAGGAGGAUUAACCAAUUAAGUAAUCAACGAGGACUAUAUGUAUCUUUAGCAGAACGUCAACAAACCUGAAAUUUUUAAAUUGGCCCAUUCCCUAACUAAAGCCAAAGCCAAAGCCAAUGUCCCACUACACUCCCAACUACCCUCUAAAUUAUAUAUUGUCCUAAUCAAGAAGUUUGGAUGCAUAUUGCACUCUGGCCAUUUUCUGCACUGCCCAGAAACCAAAGGAGACAAACUAGGCAAAGACAUAAUGGACAUUGGUAGCAACCCACAAAGAACUUAGAAGUAGGAUGACAAAUUAUGGGUGUACACAGGCAAAAAGCAUCUGUCAAUAAAAAAAGCAAAGAUUACAAAUCCAAGCAUAAAGCAAGACUGCAAUAUGACUGUUAUCUGAAAUGCUUUUCUCAGUAAUGUUGUGAUCGGUGCGAAACAAAGAUAAGCCAACUAUGCAAUUUUUUCACUAUAAUUUGGUACAACUGAAAUCAGGGAAAUGAAAAAAGGAUGUAAAUUAGGUAAGUAGUGCUUCGGUCAACAAAACAGAUAUGGUUAAGAGAAGGCAAACAUCAUUCACAAUACAAUCUUGAUGAAUCACCAAGCCCCUAGCGUAAACAUUAAUUCAUACCUGUUUGACGCAGUUCAUGCCAACCAGCACUGAGGAAAUGUCCUUGUUUGUCAAACUGUAUUGCAUAGCUAACUUUGAGAUGUUCUUCCCUUUCUUCUGGCAAAAGGCCGCAGCAUCUUGACAUGCAGACUGAAGACAAAUCAAACGCAUGAUGAUCAUUAUUCUAACCAAGGUUAUAAGAGUACCAACAAUGUUUACCAGUUACCAUAAAAAGACAUAUGGCUCCCACUCCUCUCAAGCACACAAGUUAGGUGGCUAUCAAGGGCUAAACAACGAAAACUUUGAUUAACCAGAAGAUCAACCAAGACCAUCACCUCAGUAAGUAGCAUGCUAAUUUUCUUCCAGCUCAGCCUUGAUCAAUAUUACACAAACGAUGUCCUCAAAUCCAUCAAAAAUCCCAAAACUAUACUCACAACCUUCCUGUACUGCCAAUCUAUUUCUUACUUAAAUGAGCAUCCUUCUGCACAAGGGGAAGAAAUUGUAAACUAACCUUUAGCUCAGGGGGAGCUGGAUGCCACUCUGGUGGACCACUCUCGGUAAGAAGCCCCAUUGCUAGGGGAGAGGCACUUAUUAUACCGACACCUUUGCUCUUCAAAUAUGGCAGCAAAUCUUCCAAGCUAUUGUCGUUGAUACUGAAGUGGCAGUAAGAAAGGACUACGUCGACUGAACCUGGUGGCACACGAUCAAGCACAUAUGUGAAGAUCCCCAAUGGUAGUCCAGUAAUGCCAAUGAAACGGAUCUUUCCAGUUUCCUUCAGUUUCAGAAGUGCAGGAAUAGUCUCAUUGACAAUCUGUCAGUGUGGAAAAGCCAAGUGUUCACGCUCAUUUUUCAGAAUACAUGUGACAAAUCAACAAUAUAGUUCAGAACAAGAAAGGUAAGCACCUGAUCCAGGGAGCCAAACUCGAUAUCAUGGCACUGAAGUAUAUCUACAUAAUCAAGUUGCAAUCUUUCUAAACUCUCAUCAAUGCUCCUUGUCACUCUCUCAGCACUAAAGUCAAAGCCCUCUUUAUAACGUCCACAUUUCGUUGAUACAAUAUACUGAUCUCUUGGUACACCUGAAGCUUUAAGUGCCAUCCCCAGCAUCUUCUCUGACAACGUUCCUCCAUAGUACCUUUAACAAUAGGAUACAUCAGGAGAUAUUUUCAAGCAGCAAACCAGCGCAUAAUGCAAGUCCAAAAUGCAUGGUGCAAAAACAACAGCCAGAGCCUCCUUAAAAGCAGGUAAAACGAAUUGAAGAUCAGAAACUAUGUGAGAGUAUCCACCAAUGAAAAAACAUAGAGAAACCUCAAAUGAGUUGAACAAACGCCUAAAGUCACUGAGCCCAGAUCAACUUCUUCACUUCUCAUCAGUUCAAUGCUCACGCAUAGUAGUAAAUUUGGAUGGGUUUUGGAGGAAAAGAAGAAAUUGAGUAGAUAAUGACAAUCUACUAUGCAUGCCACCUUUAACAAAAUUAAUGCAAAUAAUUGCUUCUCCAUCAUCAAAGAAUUAUAAAUACCGUUAUCUCAGCAACUUCCACUAGUCCACUUCUUAUGUGAUUAACUCCAGUGAUCUCAUCUUCUCAUCAAGAUUUCGAACAAAAGAAUAGAUCCCCUUACUCCACGAUCCUCCGCCAAUGAAGCAUUGCAGACAUUAUGGUACCAUCUCAAAAUCUUUCAACUGUCUCCAAGACCCCUCUCUCAAAUUACAGCAAUUUUACCAUUAGCUCACUCUGAUGAUCAUCACCAAUCCAGACAUAGCUCAAGAACGCAAAACCUGCCCCUUUCUCUAUCCUGCACCAUCAUCCAUUCUCGAGAUUCAGGCAACAAAAUGUCCCCAAUCCGCCGAAUCCUCUCUCUCUCGCAGGGAUUGACAAAAAGUACAGGGAAAAGGAAAAAGAAAGUUUUUUCGAAUUUGGCUUACGGGGAGGUGUCGAACAAGUUGAUGCCGAGGCGGAAAGCUUCGCGGACGGAGGCGACGGCCUCGUCCUCGGAGACGGGGCCGAAGACCCUGCCGAGAGGGGACGCGCCGAAGCCGACGCAGCUCACCUUCAGCCCCGUGCCGCCGAGGGACCGGAGCUCGAGGCUCGCCGGCGGCGGUGCCGCCAUCGGAGGACCGGCGCGUUGGUUCCUUGAUUCGUGGGUCGACGGCGGGAGCAGAGGACGGAGGAGGCACUGGAGUAGAGUGGAGUGGAGCGGAGAGCAGAAUUUAAGAGAGAGAGAGAGAGAGAGAGAGAGAGAGGUGGGGCCCGAUCGGAGGGUGCGCAGAAAUUUCGAGGAAGACGACGUAAGGGGACGGGGCGAUCGUGCGGCACUGAGAAUUGGAUUGAUCUCCCCGUGGAUGCUAACUGGAGUUUCCUGUCUGUUUGGUACAAGUGUGCUUAAGUUUCAUGAUUGAUCAAAAAAAAAAAAGUUGCAUGAUUGGUGCUUUUUUUUUGUCAAACCAUGGUUGGAUGAAUCAUGACGCUCAAUUGUUUCUCGAGAUUAGAGAUAGAUUAGGAAAUUGAACCCGUCGCCUUCGAUUUGGACAUAAAUCCGUGAAGAUUGAUUCCCCUAGGAUAGGGAAUUCGUAUCGCAUAAACAAUUGAUUUAGAUAAGGAUCUGUAGCUUUUGGAGCACAAGACGCCUCGCCCAUUAUAGUAAUUUCCUAACUACCGUAUUUUAUGGUGACGUGUAGAAAGUUGUCUCGUCUCACUUGAAGAUAGUGCAAUUUUGAGCAUUGUUUACAUAAAAAAUAAUCAAUUUUUUGUGAUCAACAAAUGAUGGGGAUAAAUUGGUUGAUGAAAGUAAUUAAGUCACUGGAAAGUUAAUAGGUUAAGUGAUGUGGGCAUUCACACCUCUAUGGUGAUAUUAACAACUGCACAAUAGUAUUUUUACCUUUUACCAAAAAAUAAUAAUAAUAAUAAUAAUUGCACAAUAUCAAUGGAGCACAAGGGGUUGGCUAUAUUGAAAUUUGAUUAAGUGUUGGGGAUAGCAGAGAAAAGAAUAUGUGGAUCAAGCUGUCAAAUUAAGAAGCCAAUAUAGAUUGGCGAUUGAGCAUUAUAGUCUCUUUAGAGGCUGGCAAGGUCGAGCCUUUGGCAAGUUGCCAAACAUCAUUGAGGACUCACAACUAGCAGAAAAAGAAAAAAUAAAAAAUAAAAAUAAAUUCAAAAAUUCAAAAAAAAUUGUAAAAAUUAUCCAUGUCGACGUUGAUUAUGCCAUGUAAAACGGUUAGCAUUCACAUUAGCAAUUUCCAACUAAAUGGCCNNNNNNNNNNNNNNNNNNNNNNNNNNNNNNNNNNNNNNNNNNNNNNNNNNNNNNNNNNNNNNNNNNNNNNNNNNNNNNNNNNNNNNNNNNNNNNNNNNNNAAAAAAAGAAAAAAAAAACCGUAAACGGAGCGUGCUUCGUGUAUGUUUAUUGAGAUCAAAUUGCAAAUAAUCGUUGUUGUCAAAAUCUACUAUCGAAGUAAGACAAUAACAUAAUGGUGAACAUUGCACAACGACUGCUGUUUGAAGAGACGACCAAUUGCAUCCCCAAAUGGUUGCAAGCUUUCUACAGGAAAGGUCGAUUCCUGAAAAUAUGUUUACUAGAGACAAUCAGUUGUGGAGAUUUGUUGUACAUAUUAUCAUGACGAGGAAGCUCACCUUACAUAUACUAAAUCUUGGAGUGUGAAGUACCUUAUUAUUUUGAUGGUCCAGUUAAGAGGGUGACCCAAAGCCUCAGUUAAUGGCCCAAAAAUUUAAUUACUUUUGCAUGAGGAAACAAGGAACUAAAUUUGUGUUUUGCAUCUAAACCACAUGGAUAACUCAAUUUCUUAACUUCAUAUUAAGCCACUCCUUUGGAAUGAUCACCCAAUGGCAUAUUCUUAUGCCUAUAGUGAAUUGGAUGCGUGGUGUGUGUCUAGGGUCUAUGUCUUCUGCCAUGUUAUUUUUUAGUUUUAUUGGGAUGCAACUAUUUGAUAUAUUCCCAUAAGAUCAAUUGUGACUGGACCUAUUCUUGAGAUGUUAAAAAUAUGUAUGAUGGGUUCACAAUUACACUAAAUCUUUAGACCGUUUUUGGUCGGUGGAUCACAAAGUAGAUAUUAAUUAUGUUAUUGAAACUAGUGUGUCCUUAGCUUCAUUGAUGACCCACAAGAUUAAUUCAAGGGCCACAAUUCAAACUAGGGAAGGUAUAUAAGCAUUUUUCACUCUCAAAAUUUGUGCACCAACCAUCCUUUUGUUGAGAUUGCCUACAUAGUCAAAAUUGAUGAAACCAACAACCGAAUGUCCUAUAUCAUAACCUUUAUUAAAGGCCAAACCCCAUUUGAGAUAUCCUGGAUGUACCUUUUGUUGAGAUUGCCUACAUAGUCAAAAUUGAUGAAACCAACAACCGAAUGUCCUAUAUCAGAACCUUUAUUAAAGGCCAAACCCCAUUUGAGAUAUCCUGGAUGUACCGAAGAAUCCAUUUCAUGACUUACCAGUGAAUUUUACCUGGAUGUAUCAUAUACCUACUCAUAACACUAACAGCCUGUAAAAUAUCUAGACAAGUACAAAUCAUAGCAUACAUGAGCUAUCCACAAUAUUAGAAUAUGGAACUUGAGACAUCUCAUCUUCCUCUUCUUUAGUUUUAGACGACAAAGAAUCCGAAAGCCUAAAAUGGGACACCAAAUGAGUACUUACCGCUUUAGUAUUCUUCAUCCUAAAGCACUCAAGCACUUUCCCAAUAUACUUCUUCUGCGAGAGGCAUAACUUCUCAACCUGUAUGUCUCUACAAAUUUCCAUACCUAAAAUUUUCUUGGCAAUUCCAAGAUCUUUCAUCUCAAAUUCCUUGCUAAGUUGCCUCCUUAAAUUUUAUAUCUCUAAUAUGUUCUUUACUACAAUAAGCAUGUCAUCUACAUAUAAUAGUAAAUAAAUAAAAGAACUAUCAUGCAAUCUCUUAUAGUACACACAACUAUCAUGCGCACUUCUCGAGUAGCCAUGACUCAAUAUAAAGCUAUCAAAUCUCUUGAACCAUUACCGCGAAGGUUGCUUGAGACCAUACAAAAAAUGUUUCAACCUACAAACGUGAUCUUAUUUACCCUCAACAACAAAUCCCUCAUAUUAAGACAUAUAGAUUGUCUCCUCAAGCUCGCCAUGAAGAAAAGUAGUCUUGACAUUGAGUUGCUCAAGUUCUAGAUCAUAAAGGGCUAUUAACAUGAGCAAUACACGAAUGGAAUUAUGUUUCACAAUUGGAGAAAACACUUCUUUGAAGUCGAUCACCUCUUUUUGAUUCAAACCCUUCUCUACUAAACGUGUCCUAAAUCUUUCAUCUUCAACCUCUAGAAUUCUCUAUUUUCUUUUGAAGACCCACUUGCACCCAACAGCUCUUUUCCCCUUAGGCAAUUUCACAAGUUCCCAAGUUUGGUCCUUUUGAAAAGACUCCAUCUCUUCAUUCAUCACAAUAGGCUACUUUUUAGAUUUAGAACAAAUAGUAGCUUAAUGGAAUAUAAAAGGCUCUUUGAUACUAAGCUCUUUAGCAAUUGUAAGAGUAUAUGCGGUCAAAUCAGCAAAACCAUACCUUUGAAGAGGCUUAAUUUGUUGUUUAGCCCUCUCUGUAGCCAAAUUUUGAGAUUGCUCAUUUCUUCUACUUUUUCUUUGAUAGAAUAUGAAUCAUGUUGAUCAUUAUCACUUUUUGGCUGAAUAGGAACUUCUUCGACCAUUUUUUGUGGAUGCUCUACAUGAAACUCCACCUCUUUCUGAACAUUCUCCUCAUGAAUACUUUCCCUGCUCAAAUAUAGAAUUUUCAUCAAAAGUAACAUCCCCACUAAUUAUAAACUUUGAUGACUGAGAAUCAGAACACCAUAACCUAUAUCAUUUAAUGCUGUCUACAUGACUAAUGAAAAUACAUUUCUUGGCCCUAGGUUCAAGCUUACUUUUUUUACAUGAUAAUAAGCUAGACAUCCAAACAUUUUUAAAUCAGAAUAAUUAGAAGGUUUACCUAACUAUAUAUCAUUAAGAGUCUUACAUUCAAUUGCGGUUGAAAGAAAACAAUUCACUAAAUAACAUGUUGUGUCCAAUUUAUGUGCUCUGCCACCCCACCCUGUUGAAGUGUAUACCCGAUUGUUUGAUGUCAAACAAUUCUUGAAUCUUCAUGGUACUUGUUGAAAACACCUCAGUAAAAAUCAAGACCAUUGUCUGUUCUGGAACGCUUUAUCUUCUCCCCAAUUUGAUUUUCUAUUAACAUAUUUCACUUCUUGAAUGUAUCAAAAACAUUACUUUUACGCUUUGAGAAAUAAACUCAGACUUUCCUAGAAAAAUUAUCAAUAAAUGUCAAAAGAAAAACUGCACCACCCUUAGAUGUUACCUAUGCCGAUCACCACAAAUCAGAGUGAAGAUAGUCAAUUGUGCCCCUCAUUGAGUGCACCAUAAUACUGAAAUUAACUCUGUGCUAUUUUCCGAAAACAACAAUGUUCGCAAAAGUUAAGUGAGAUCAUAUGAUCCCUACAAAGUAAACCAUGUUUACUCAAGAUAGUCAUUCUUUUUUUGUUCAUGUGGCAAACACAUAUACCACAACAUUGAUUUUUCAAAAUCUAAAGGGGAUGACAUAUUUAAAAUCACAAUCAAUAAGCCUUUCGAAAUGUUCAAAACUCCACCUCCAUCUGUGUACAUGCAUUUAAUGAAAUCUCAAUUGCUCAAUGAAAUAAGGUUCUUCUUCAAAUCUGGGAUGUGCAUAAUGCUUGUCAAAAAUUUUACUACAUUGUCAUUACAUUUAAUAUGUACAGUACUAAUACCUACGUUCCUACAGAUUGCAUUGUUACCCAUCAAAACUAAACCUCUGCUGACUUUCUCAUAUGUGUGGAACCAAUUUCUAUAUGGACACAUAUGGUAUGAACAUGCUGAAUCCAAAAUCCAUUCAUCAUCAACAUGAAAAUCUAAAAACAAAACAAUAUGAACAUUGUAUGCAUUAGCUGACUCAUUAUUUUUCACCAAACUAGUCGAAUCAGAAUUCUUCAUCAACUUCUUCCCCUUAGCUUUGAGUACUCGAUACUCACUUUUGCAAUGUCCUAAUUUCUAACAAUAAUAGUACUCCACCUUACUCUUAUCUCUAUUUGAUUUAGAUUUCAAACUCCAUUUACUAUUACUACGUCUAUCAUGAUGAUUUGACCUUCUCUUAACAACUAAGCCAUUAGCUUUAUCACCACUACUACUCGUAUUCAAUUUUGUACGCAUCUCCAUAAAAUUCAAUGAGACUUUCACAUCCUUAAGAGUUAUAGAUUCCCUUCCAUACAACAUAGAUUUCACAAAAUUCCCAUACGAGCUCGAUAGUGAACAUAACAUAAUUAGGGCCCGAUCUUCAUCAUCUAACUUCAAAUAUAGAUUUUUCAUAUCCAUAACAAUUUUAUUGAAUUCAUUUAGAUGUUCUUGGAUAGGAAUACUUUCUUGCAUCUUUAACGUGUAAAGACACUGCUUCAAAAAUAAUCUUGUCAUAGGAGAUUUCUUCAUGUGGAGGUUCUCAAGCUUAUUUCACAAUCCCAAAACUGUUUCUUCAUCUGCAACUUCACAAAGCACCUUAUCGGAUAAUGACAAUUGAAUAGUGCUAUGCGUCUUUUCUUCCACCUCCUCGAUCUUAGCCGUAGUCAUAUCAUUGGGAUAAUUUCCGUCCACGACUCUAACUGAACCUUCUCGACGCAGCAACGCCUUCAUCUUGAUCCUCCAUAGCCCAAAAUUAUUUUGGCCAUCGAAGGGUGCCACUUCGAACUUGAUAGAUGGUAUCUCAAACAAAAUGACCAAAAUUCCUUCACUCUAAUAUCAAUUUAUUGCCAAAAAAAGGUCAAUCAAAGAUGCACCAAUCUAAGAACAAAUAGCAAAGGAUGAAAGAAAAUCGAAAUCACACGAGAUGCAAGAUUUACGAGGAAAAUCCAAAAUGAGAAAAUUCAUUAGGAGAGAGAGGGGUUUCAAUAUCUUUAAUAGAGAGAACAAAAGUACCAUCCAAAAAGCUCUAAAACCAUUUGGUGAGCCACAAUAUCUAAAUAUCUAACAAAAAGGUUGGAAAAAAAAAAACAAAACUGGAAAUAAUAUAGAGGUUAAGGUUGGAGAUAUGUUAUUAAACACAUUUCUUUCGUAGUCUCCCUUCAAAAAUUCCUAAAAUAAAUGUGCAUGGUUUAAAAUACUCUUAUUUCUUAAUUUGAAAGUUAAAAUUCAACCCAUUUCAAUUAUGUCAAUUUAGUCCGUAACCUCUUGUCAAUUUGUCAAUUUAAUUCUAAACUUUUCAUUGGUACCAAUUUACUCCUAAGCUUUUUUCUUUUUUUUUAAUUUGCCAAUAGUUCUAAACCUUUUGAUGAUUUACCAAUGUAGUCAUUCCAAAUAAAUAUCCAAAUAAUAGGUUUAUGACUAAAUUGGCAAAUCUUCAAAAGGUUUAGAACUAAAUUGACAUAAUUGAAAGUUACAUGACUAAAUUAGCAAAUCGUUAAAAUUUUUAGGACUAAAUUAGCAAAAUUGAAGGUUUAUGACCGAAAUGGCCAUUGUACCAUAGGAUUUAGGACUUUUUAUGCAUAGAUUGUUAUCGAAGAUGAAAAUAUUUUCCGUUGAAUAAUUUUUUAAACAAUAUAAGCAAUUACUUUUCGAAAAAUGUUUCCCCAAUCACUCAUCUUCAGUGAAACAAACACACCCUUCGAGCUUAAUAGUUUUCUAACUUAGAAUUUAAAGAUUAUCACUGAACAAUCACGUCCAUUAACGUGUGCAUCGUUUACUAUAUCUUAUUUGUCUGAAAGCCUCUUCUCGUAGAAGAAAACGAGAGAGCACCAUUCACGUUACUCUGUCCUCUAUGUUGGCUAUCACUGCAAGGCUUGAAUCAUGUUCAUCCUUCUUGGUAUUUUAUCAAAUUAUUACAUGUAUCGAAAAAACAAAUAAAAACUACGCGAGUAGUAUAUAUCGAAUUACUAGGAUUAGUGGUAAAUCUACAAAUUUACUAGCCCAGUAGGUAGUAUUGCUGUAGGAAAGAAACUAAUAUGUGAGGAGGAUAUUAUUAAGAUGCACAUGUAAGUUUAAAAAUGUCUCACGUGGAAGAAUUGGUGUAAUAUGAAAUAAUUAAUGGAUCAUAACUCCUUGAAUUAAAGUUUUUAGUGAAGAUAGAUCCAAUUAAAUAUUGAUAGGCUUGGACUUUUGCCCUCUCUUGGCGGUCUCUCCCUAGAUGAAGGGAUUGGGCUUUUGAUACUUGCUUCUUGAAAAUUAAUAUCGGAGCCUGACUUAAUUAAGUUAAAGUGAAUCGAUUUCAACUAAAGAAGGAAAAGUGAAAAUAAACAUAUUUGAUGGGGAGGAUUUUGGUUUUAGAGCUCAUAGUUGAUUAGUGGCUAUUCCUCAUAUAUAUCAGUGCACGGUGAAUAUCUUAAAGAAAGGAAUUUCGUGACUUACACGAUUCCUAGCAGUCUUCAUGGGACUAGCGAAAGAGACACCGGUUGAGAAUGGACAUUGUGGUGUAAAAACAAGGUCCUUCAUGAUUUAAUUGUCCGGUGACAGCCUUCAUAGUUGGGACUAGAGAAAGAGACUAGAAAUGAAGAUGUGCAUUACACAUGAUAACAACAAUGCAUUUGAGAAAGAAAUAACUUCACAAACUCCAAAUAGAAUGAGUGCGUAUAUACUAAACGAAAGUUUUAUUUUUCAUAUGAUAAAGAAUCUCACACAAAUGAGCGGAAAUAAUAAUGAUGCCUAAGAUACACAGAGGUAAAUGUCAUCUUAGAGUACAAACUACUGGCAAAUCGCGUCUCUAGAGGUCAUUUCCAGCUCUAUAAUGGGGGAAAAAUUGAUAUGUCUUAAGUGUGCAUGCGGGAAAUCAAUGAUCAACAUUACACAAGAGACAGUUCACCCGGCGGAAUUGAUCUCUUCACAAGUUUGGUCCAAGAUUCAUUUGUCUCACUGAUAACCUUCAGAGCAUAAGCCUGCAGCAUCAUAUCACACAGUAUGCAAUUUAUUAUAUUCAAAUUAGAAGCAAUAAUAGCAAAUGUAAACCUCCCAAACUAUAGAGCAAGAUGCGUUCACCCAUGCCUAAGCAACCUGAUCUAAUAAUUGGAACAUUCCCUAACUGUUGGUUGGCCGGGUCUUCAGGGUGGGUACCAGAGACCCUUUCAUUUCAACUAUUCAAGACAAAAAGAUGAAGGCCUAUAACCAAAGGUGGAGAAACCAUUCAGAUCAAGGCCUAUCUUACACAUAUGUAGCAAGGAAGCAACGCCGUUGUGACUCUGGCAAAAUGCUCAAGUUGGUCAGUAUACUUGCUUAUCAACCUAAAUAUCAACAUGGGCCCAAUUGACGAAUGUCAUCAAGCAGGUGGUCUAAGUAGAGCGACUUGCUGGCUAGUGGGGAAAAGAAGGAAAAGGAAAUUUUCACAAUCCUAAUGCCCAUGGAGCAUUGCUAUAAACUUAUUUUAUGAAUGGGCAAGAGAGAACUCUCAACGUAGCAAUUUGCUGAAGAUGAGCAUGCUAUUAAUAGGUAAACCACUCAAACACAAAGAUAAGAUAAGUCUUUGGUGAAGUAAAUUGCUGGUAAACAUAGAGUGCAAGCUGGGCCAUGGCAUUUUAUCACCUCUGCACAAAAGUUUUUUGGUUCUUUGGGUAUCAAAAUAGGUGCAAACUAUGUUAACGACAUUGAAUAUUCACCUUAUCAGCUGGCUUGUUUCCAAGACCAAACUUAUUGGCUGGCUUGCCAUCAGGAAUUUUGUAGUCACGAAACCAGUCCCUGAUUGCAGUUAGAGUACCCUGAGGAUACAAAAUAAUUCUUAAUCAGGAUAUAAUUAACAAAAAAAACCCACAGCAGUCAUGGAUAAUUAGAACACUUCUAGGGAUAGGAAUAGAGUUUUUUUUUUUUUUUUGUUAAAUUUCUUUUUCAAUGUCUUCGUCAAUUAACACACACGCAUACACACAAAUGUUGAGAGUACCAUAUACGUUAAGAUAGUAGGUGUAUAUCCAAGCUAAAAUCUUGGAAUGUGGUAAGUAUUCUUUUGACUUUUGUUUCUUCACAAAUCUAGCAGAGUACUUUUGUCCUUUCUAAUAGGUGAAUGGCUUUUGCACCUUUGUUGCCCUUUCAAACAUACUAUCAUGUUUUACCAAAAGAAAAGAUAAGCACUCUUCUUCUUUUGCCAAUGCCAGACAAUUUCCCUUUCCUAGUCCAGACAUCUGUAGCACUAUGAUAGAUCAAUCAUUUCAAACAUCACCUCUUACAAAUUUAACAAAUCCUAAAGCCUUUUCAUAAAUUGAGACCCUUCCAGAGGAAAAGUUCAUCUGACCGGAUUGCUAUUUUACACAUGCUUUGAAUAACUAACAUACUCAAACAAACUAAUUGUUAUUCCAGAUUAAGCAUCAGAGAAAGAGAGAAAUAAAAGUUAGUGCCAGUUUGUAACAAUGAACAUAUCAAAGUUGCAAAACAAUGAAACUAUGGCGCAUAACAGCAUAUUGUUGAGAGUGGGGUGAAUAGCAUGAGAGAAAACUACAAUACUCAUCCACAUAGAACAUACCGGGAAAUGCUUCUCAACAUCAUCUAUAUCAUUUACGAGGGAAGCCUUAGGAUCAUCCAGGGAAACUGCUAUUAUUUUCCAGUCGAGUUCCCCCUCAUCAAUCAUAGCUAAUGCAGCCAAGGGCUUGACCUUCAAAAUCUCACCAAUCUGUCUCCGACUUUCACCAAUCUCAACAACAUCAACUACACAGUCAAAAACAUGAAAUACUAGAUUAAGAUCAUUCUAUAAUGGCAUUAACAAUCUUGAAGAAAAAAAUGUUUACGAGAACUGGAUGAAGUUUGUUAAUACCCGGAUCAUUAUCACCAAAUGCCCCUUCAACUUCAGAGUUAGCAAAAGAUGGGUCUUCCCAUGUUUGUGGAAGCAAUCCAUAAUUCCAGUGGAUAUUGUAGCUGAGGAAAACAAUUAAGAUGCUUCAGCUUUGGAAUUUAGAAAAAAAUUAUUAGAAUACAUGACUUCCCUCUAGACCUAGCUGAACUCAAUUUGAAAGGGCUUCUUCCUAUACCUGUGAAUUCCAACUUAAUUGGCUACUUCCAAUUACGUAAUAAGCAAUUUAUUAUAAUUUUAGACUGUACGACAUAAAUCCAGUUCAAAUACGAAAGGACCAUAACCUGAAAACUACAUCUCUUAAAAUGUAUCUGUAUCCUCCACAGCAGCUAUGGGUCUUCUAAUAAAGUAAUCAUGUAGAAGUAUCACAAAGGAGGUCCCCAGGAACAGAUACAUUUGAGAAACAUCAAAUGAAAAAUGAUGCAGAAUUUUCAUUGCUCUAAGAAAUAUUACUAGAAGGAAAUGAGCAAUUACUCAUUUAGGUAUACAUUUGUGAGAUUUAACAUCAAGAUGCUCAAAAACCACAACACAAUGGAAGCUCCAGUCAAAAUGAAUAAGAACCCCAAAAGGAUAAGAAUGCUAUAAGAAUAAAAAUCUUGAACAUAAGUACAGGCUAUCAUGCUAGAAAUACAAAGGCAUGGAGCAUCAAUGUAGGCUGCAAGUGCACAUUGGGUCUCUCCCCACUGCUCUCGACCAAAGAUUCAUAGCUUAAAAACAGAAAAUUAGCAGAUCUUCCACUAAAUGAGAAAUAAAGAUGAAAACAACAAGGAAAACUACAAUUCAGGGAAAAAACGCACUGGAUAUUAAUCAUAAUGACCAUGCAUAUUGAGGAGAUUUACAACAUGUCAAUCAGAAAUUCUGGAAUUAAAAACUCAAAGACAUUGAUAUCUGACAUUCACGAGAGGAACUACAGGAACUAAAACUCAUAAGUGACUGUGGCCAUGACAUAUUACUGAGAAAUUAAAGUGCCUAAAGUGCUUAGAAAGUAGACACCAGGAUAUCUUGGUUAAAUGUGUGAAGAGCACCUUUUCAAUAAACUAUUAUAAGUACUGGUCAGCCUAUGCCUUACAGUUGAACAUAUUGGCAAACAGAAAGAUUCAUAUCAAGAAGCUGACAUAGAGAUACUUCAACUUCGACCUCAGGGAAGGGAAUAAUACACAUUAACAGAGAAGCAUAUCUUACGGAUAAUAUCGAAGAUUUCCCUUCUUAGUGUCCUGCUUGAUGGGAGUGAAUGGCUCAUCAGUGGCAACUUCCAUCUUUGCACUGGACUCCUUGGGUAUUUCAACUACAAAGUUGAAAACCCCAUCGCCCAGUUGCAACGGUAUAUCAUGCCAUGGGGAUAUCUGCACCAGUAUCAUGAUUCUUCUUCAUGUUUAAGCCCAAGAACGGGAAAAUCGAAUUUUCUUAAACCGAUGUUUAGUAAAUGAGAUCUUUUCAUUCGCACAAUGUCUCUAUGCUAAACAACAGAGACGAGACGAACCAGAGACACUUCCCCGUGUGGAAAUGUAAACUCAAAAAACAGAAACCAGUUCAAAAUUCGCCGUGCGAACAAUCCCCACAUCAGGCAUUUUCCCACAAGACAAAACAUACUUCAAAAGACGCCAAAACACGACUUCACCCCAUCCAUGCGCAUUGCAAGAACUACAUUCCAUUUCUCGCGACCGCACUGUCCAGUGACUCAGAGUACACUACUAUCGAAUCAGGCGCGGCAAUUGCAGCAUCGGAAGCCGUCUGUAAGCACGCUCAUUUGUCCAAAAACAUGAUUUUGCCGCAAAUACAAGAUAAGACAAAGAUCAUAAUCGAACAAAGUCAUCUUUUUUUGCGCUCGCUAGUCACCAUUGAUCGCCAAUAUCACCAAUCCGACGAAAGCAAUCACAAACGCGAAGCUUCGAAUAAAGUAACGGUCUUGGCAAGACUAAAAGCUCCACAUCUUCCUAUCCAUCAUCCACUGAUUCCCGAAACGCCCAAGCGAAAUCCACCCCCAUUUCCAUCGUCUUCUCGAAGAAUCAAACAAGCACGCUCGAAGAGAGAAGAGAGGAGAGAGAGAGAGAGGGAGACCUUCUUGCCGGAAUCCUCGACGAGGAAGACACGGUAAUCGAGCGUCUCGGGCUUGCCCUCCUCCUUGACCUUGACCUGAGGCCUGUAGAUGGCGCUGCAAGCGAACGACCUCCUCGACGACGACGGCAGCGGCGCGGCGGCGGCGGGCCGCCUGAAAAGACGCAGCCCGGCGCCGCCGCCGCCCAGGGCCCCCCGCUUGAGCGAGCGCGGCGUCCUGGAGAGCAGGCAGCUGGUGGUGGCGGCGGCUGCCGGGAUGACUCUGACGGUCGCCAUGGCCCGUCGGAGGCGCUCUGCUUUCCGGCUGCUGACGGCGGACGGCGACGGCGACGGCGGAUGGUGAUUGGGAGAGCGUGCUUUGGAGGAGUGUCGAGUGAGCCACAGAAACAAAUUGUGCCUGUUUUUUCCUUUUUAUUUAUUUAUUUAUUUUCCCUCGGGCCCAGAAAAUAGAAAAUGAAAUGAAAUAUAAAAAAAAAAAAAAAAAUUGGGGAAAAGUGGGCAAUAAUAUCCGGUGGGCCCCGCGCGAUAUACUCGCCGUAGAGCGACUGGUGGAGGUUGGUGCGCCGCCAUAGGCGAGCCUCGAGCCGAAGUUGAGUGAUGUGAUGACACGAGAUAUCUCGGACAUGAAUGAUUACACCAUGAAAUUCAAUUUAAUGUGUAGGCUCGUUUUUUAAUUUUUAAUUUAUUCAAUAUAAUUCAUAAAUUUUCAUUGUAUAUUCGAUCUAAUUUUUCAAUAUUCAACAUCAUCUCUGAAUUUGAAUCAAUAAAACAAUGACAAUUACCAUUUUUAUAUAGUUCAUUAAUUAGAUCAAAUAUGUACACUAUAUUGAAUAAAUUAGAAAUUCAACAAAGACAUUGUACAUUAGGUAAAACUUCAGAAUUUGCAUUGAACAAAUUAAAAAUUUAAGAGGGUCAAAGUUUAUAGAUCAUUUAAGUUAUUUUCAUAUUUAAAAUUGUUGUUGAUGCCAUAUUUUGAAAAUUAAACUUUUAAAAAAAUAUAUGAUUCUAUAAUUCUACUGAUAUUUAUUGCCAAAAAAAAAUGUAAAAAAAAAAAUUGAAGAGAAAAUUUAGUUGUACUGGAAGAAAAUAUUAAGUAAAAUAAUUUCUCUUAGAAAAUUAUUAGAAUUUUUAUCAAAAACUUGGUUGCUCGAUGUAUGAAACAAAUAGGACUUUCGCUUUGGAUGAUAAACUCGUUUAGGCGCUGCAUACAAAAUUGCUCUAUCCCUUCGUGAAAGAGUUUUUGUACCCAAAAAAAGUGUUUUUUUUUCUAAUAAAAAAUGAAUGAAAAUGUGUCUGUUCUUGCAAUGGAUCAACGGCAGCAAUCUAAUUCAAAUCCCUAACGAGUCAGCAAAUCCAGAAAUUUAAGGAUUUUGCCAAUAAUUUAGGACAUCGAUUGUAAUUAUUACCAUAGGAAAUAUUCUCUGAUAAAUUCACAAGAGGAAAUGCCAAAAAAGAUAAACAGAAAAAAGGAAAGAAAAAAUUGCAUUAUCAACACCUCUGGUAUUUUAUCUGAUACAAUCCCUCAAUUUAAAGCAAAGAAAGAAGGGGGGAAAUAAGUUCCACUGAAAAGCUCUUGGUCCUUAUGGAAUGUGACAACCCAAAUUGGAAGCAACACAUCUCAUGACGAAUUAUUCAAGACAGGAAAUGGGAUAAGUGGAUACAUCAAUACAAACAGAUCAAACGUCGAGAACGAUACGAACUUUUAGCUCUGCUGGAUCCCGCUCGGCCAUGUCAGGUUCUUCACCGGCUUGAGGAUGGCUUCAACCUCGGAGAGCGUUUCUUGAUCCAUUCCUGUGGACGCCAGCUCCGUUGCAGCGGCGACAUUCUCCUCGACCUGACAUUGGCACGCGAGAGUGUAUCAGAGAAGUUCAUUCC
This 16751-nucleotide long non-coding RNA is filed under the name Eucalyptus grandis. Its description in RNAcentral is "long non-coding RNA (EGRA_LNC004161)". The record is from RNAcentral. Lineage: Eukaryota; Viridiplantae; Streptophyta; Magnoliopsida; Myrtales; Myrtaceae.